This 254-nucleotide ribosomal RNA is filed under the name uncultured bacterium. Its description in RNAcentral is "partial 16S ribosomal RNA". It matches the Rfam family "Bacterial small subunit ribosomal RNA", at positions 524 to 776 of the family's 1533-position model. The record is from RNAcentral.
UACGUAGGGGCCUAGCGUUGUCCGGAAUUAUUGGGCGUAAAGAGCUCGUAGGCGGUUCGGCAAGUCGGAUGUGAAAUCUCCACGCUUAACGUGGAGGGGCCAUUCGAAACUGCUGUGACUCGAGUCCGGUAGGGGAGUGUGGAAUUCCCGGUGUAGCGGUGAAAUGCGCAGAUAUCAGGAAGAACACCCGUGGCUAAGGCGGCUCUCUAGUACGGUACUGACGCUGAGACGCGAAAGCGUGGGGAGCGAACAGG